Molecule: long non-coding RNA, 4972 nt
Organism: Biomphalaria glabrata
Lineage: Eukaryota; Metazoa; Mollusca; Gastropoda; Planorbidae
Exons: 2
Source: RefSeq, a predicted model, not a curated record
CCUGCAUGUGUCCAUACGCUUGCAGCCAAUUUAGUUCUGUGAGUUUGUCCGUGGUUUAUGGCUAGAAUGACAUCUUAGUUUAACCCAUUCAACGGCUAAUGUUUCCAUUGAUAGAGUUAGAACUGUGUAGUCAGCGUUUCUGAGGUGUACAGCUUCUGCACUUGAGGAGUUGACGUCUCUAAGCGUGUAGGUAGAACGAUACUGUUCUCAUGUGUGUAUUCAUACGGCCUUUAAGACAUUGGAAUAUUUGGAGCGCAUGCAGUCAGAUGUACUGUCAAGUCUUCCCUAUCAUGUCAGUUUAAAGACAUAACAAAGGUAAUACAACUAUAGCAAUUCAUUGCGUAUGAGAGACACUAUGUCCUAAGGACUCCAUAUUGUCUUAAGGAUGUUCAUGUCAAGUUUCAAGAUUGGUCGAGCACUUUUUGAUUACAUAUUUACAUAUAAAUAACGUUCUGCUGUAUACAGGAAGAGACUCAGUUCUAUGUAAGUGAUGACGUUGAAUAUUAUUGUUUACAAGUAAAACAGCUGAUUGCAUUCAACCUAAACUAGACCAUUCCAUUCAACCUUUAUUAUGUGUUAUAUGGUUCAGCACCAUUAAGCUGUCUUCUGUGUAGAGAAUACAAAUACAAGACUACAUUAUAAACUCAUCAGAAGGUUGAAUGGAACGUGACCAAUGGAAGGAUCUGAUCUUUCUGACUAAAAAGACUCGCCUGGAGGUAUAAACUUGAUGUCCAACUGUUCAAAGAUUUCAUGAUUCAUGAGAUUAUCAUUUUUUUUUUAUUUCUUCGCUGUGUGCCAAUCUCAAUUACGCAGUCUUCUUCUGACCAAAAAAAAAUACGACUUAAACAUAUAGUCUUUUGAUCAGGUACGAGCUACUUUUUCUAGGCCCCUUACUGUGUCUGGGCUUCUUGCUAUGACUGUGAUCAUUGCAGACCAUCAGGGUGGAGGUGAGCUCAUAAAUGUUUAAGGUUUGAACCAGAUGUAUCACCAAUUGAAGCUAAUAAACGUUAUUUUGACAAAUCUUAUAGUAACACACUCUGUCUGUCUAUCUGUCUGUCUGGUCAAAAGUUUGUACACGCAUUUCUCCCGCACCUAAUCUCGAAUCAAGCUGAAAUUUUGCACAAUUAUUUCUUUUACAUGACAACACAAAAAUCAAUUAAAAAAAACAACAAUUAGUUAAUUAACUAUUGGCAAUUAAUUGUUUUGUUUGGUAUCUCGAACAAGGGAAAUAAAUUGUACUUGACUGAAGAGGUGGUAUCAGCUGAAUUAGUUUCCUUUACAGGUCGUCGUCUGAGGCUUAGUGAACACAAACAUGAAAUAGAAACAAUAGAUAACUAUACAAUCUUUCAUUGUCAUACGCUCUUCGCUAAAAGAGUGGCUACCACGUUGGCUUGAGAAGUCUAAGAAGGCUUUGGCCCACGAGCCGUUUAUUUCUAAAAAAAAAAAAUAGACAUAAAAACGAUCCCCCAGAUACCCCCCUUCUUUCUCCCCCACCCCCCUUUCCAACUGGUCCAGUGAUAGGCUCAGAACGUAGUGAGAACGCUGAAAGCAUAGAAUUGUGCUAAACAAAAAAUAAUUGGUCAAAAUAUUUCUAAUCGCACAGAUAUUGUAUAGUUAGUCUAGAAUAGUCUAGAUCUAUACCAAAUUUAACCAAAUGACUGAUCCAAUCUAAUUGAUACACUUACUAUAUUUUUUUUAUUUACAAAGCUCAUAUCAAAUCACUCUGUCUGUCCUAAAAAAAAUCCCGAAAGGUCAAAAUCCCAGUCUUCAUCGGAAUUCGAACACGCUCCCUCGGUUCGGAAGCCAAUCUUCUUACCACUCAGCCACCAAGAUCCCCUUUACAUGUGUGAGAUUGGCAAACACGUGGACAUUUCCACAGACUUCCUGAUAUCACUUACCUACAUACAGUUACAAGUUUGUUAUUUGCGCAUUAUACCUCCAUAUGCCUCCAAAGCUUAUUACCUAUAAACACUAGAGUACUUUGACAGUGAACCCGCUACAUGCAUUUAUAACGAGGUUCAUUGUAGUGCAUGACUGUGUUAGUUAGAAAUGUAAUACAUAGAUCAGACUCUGCACCGAGUUUCUCCUGCGCUAGGAUUUGUUUUUUGUUCUAAGCCUCUGAGGCUGAGGUUGAGAGUGUUAGUUCGUAUAAGAAUAAUUGACCGUACACACAAGCCAGUCGCUCAUUGACCUGUCUAACUUAAUCAAUGUCUUAAUGAAUCGCUCAUUAUGCACUAGGGUGCGGGGCGGCUCCAGCAUGACGGGGGUAAAAAGGGAUCGCCUUUGAUCACGGAAAGAAAUUCGUUUGUUCUAAUCAAGUUCAGGUGUGGUGUUUAAAUGAUCUGGAUUCUUUGGUGUGUGUGUGUUUUUUUUUCAUAGUAAACUCUAGGUUUUAAUGAACGAAAGGACAAAGUGUUGCAGAGAAACUAAGAGGAUGUGAUAUCGGAGAACAGAACGCCAUAUUGAAGUUGUAGGUGAUAUGGGUGCAGGGUGUGUGAACAGAACGCCCGCCAUAUUGAAGUUGUAGGUGAUAUGGGAGCAGGGUGUGUGAAAAGAACGCCAUAUUGAAGUUGUAUAUGUGAUAUGGGAGCAGGGUGUGUGAACAAAACGCCAUAUUGAAGUUGUGUAUGUACUAUGGGAGCAGGGUGUGUGAAAAGAACGCCAUAUUGAAGUUGUGUAUGUACUAUGGGAGCAGGGUGUGUGAAAAGAACGCCAUAUUGAAGUUGUAGGUGAUAUGGGAGCAGGGUGUGUGAAAAGAACGCCAUAUUGAAGUUGUGUAUGUACUAUGGGAGCAGGGUGUGUGAAAAGAACGCCAUAUUGAAGUUGUGUAUGUACUAUGGGAGCAGGGUGUGUGAAAAGAACGCCAUAUUGAAGUUGUGUAUGUGCUAUUCGAGCAGGGUGUGUGAAAAGAACGCCAUAUUGAAGUUGUAUAUGUGAUAUGGGAGCAGGGUGUGUGAAAAGAACGCCAUAUUGAAGUUGUGUAUGUACUAUGGGAGCAGGGUGUGUGAAAAGAACGCCAUAUUGAAGUUGUGUAUGUACUAUGGGAGCAGGGUGUGUGAAAAGAACGCCAUAUUGAAGUUGUAGGUGAUAUGGGAGCAGGGUGUGUGAAAAGAACGCCAUAUUGAAGUUGUGUAUGUACUAUGGGAGCAGGGUGUGUGAAAAGAACGCCAUAUUGAAGUUGUAUAUGUGAUAUGGGAGCAGGGUGUGUGAAAAGAACGCCAUAUUGAAGUUGUAGGUGAUAUGGGAGCAGGGUGUGUGAAAAGAACGCCAUAUUGAAGUUGUGUAUGUACUAUGGGAGCAGGGUGUGUGAAAAGAACGCCAUAUUGAAGUUGUGUAUGUACUAUGGGAGCAGGGUGUGUGAAAAGAACGCCAUAUUGAAGUUGUAUAUGUGAUAUGGGAGCAGGGUGUGUGAAAAGAACGCCAUAUUGAAGUUGUGUAUGUACUAUGGGAGCAGGGUGUGUGAAAAGAACGCCAUAUUGAAGUUGUGUAUGUACUAUGGGAGCAGGGUGUGUGAAAAGAACGCCAUAUUGAAGUUGUAGGUGAUAUGGGAGCAGGGUGUGUGAAAAGAACGCCAUAUUGAAGUUGUGUAUGUACUAUGGGAGCAGGGUGUGUGAAAAGAACGCCAUAUUGAAGUUGUGUAUGUACUAUGGGAGCAGGGUGUGUGAAAAGAACGCCAUAUUGAAGUUGUGUAUGUACUAUGGGAGCAGGGUGUGUCAAGAGAACAUAAGUACACUAUGAAUGUUAAGUAAGAUAUUUUAUUAGAAUAUGUUAUGCCAACAGAGUUGAUAAGAAAGGAGAUUUUGAAAAAACAACUGAGAUACUUGUGAAUGUUGAUUGUGAUAUUUGAGAAGAAAAUGUUAUGAGAACAAAUUAUGACAAGAGGACUGGUGUCUUAAAUGGAGCAUAAUGGGAUACCUAAUUUAAAAUUAUUGGUCAACUAUAUAACAUGGAAAUAAUACACGUUAUGUUACAGCCAGCGUAACAAAAGUAACAGAAAUUCUAGAAGUUAACAAGAAAAAUAUUUUUAAAAAUAAUUUUUACAAGAUUAAUUAUAUAACAAUAGUUAUAACAUUUAGUUUGGCUCAGUCAUGUGAUUAAAUUUGUAAUAGAUCUAGACUUCCAAUAAUAAAUCUGUGCGAUUAGAAAUAUGUUAGCAAUUGUUAUUGCUUAGCGCAAAUUUCAUGCUUUUAGCUUUCUCAAUCCUAUCAGUUGGCUGAACCAGUUGGGAAGGGGCGGGGUGAAGAAAGAAAGUGGCAGUUGUGUUAAUUUAACCGUGACAGCCUUUGAAAUGCAUAACAAAGAACGUGUUCACUCUAGGGUCAAGGGGACCAAUUCAACUUAUACCACCACAAGUGUCAAGUACGAUUUCUUUCCCUUGUUCGAUACCAAACAAAAUUAUUUAUUACCAAUACUUAAUUAACUAAUUGGGUAAUCUUUGAUCCGAGAUUGGGUGUGGGAGAAAUACCUAAUCUUUUACCAGACAGACUGAGUGAGUCGAUAUAAGUUUUGUAAGAAGACAAGCUCAUAGGACAAGGUCAUAUCAUAGUGACGUAGUUCAUCUAGAGAGCUUGAGAAUGUUGACAAAGUCAAGACAACCUUUCUAAACUAGUUAACCUCUGACCUUCUCUAUACUCAACUCACUGUUUUUGUUGAACAAAUUGCACAUUUUAUAACUGUCUAUGAGAGGGAGACUGACAGAGAGAAAGAGAAAAACACAGAGGGAGAGAGAGAGAGAGAGAGGAGAAACGGAAAGAGAGAGAGAGAGAGUAUGUGUUAUAUUUAUGUUUUUAUACUAAAACUAUGCAAAUGAGAGAGGUAUAGAAUAAGAUCCAUUAUUUCUUGACACAAAUAGAAAUUAUAUAUAUCUCUUUGUCCUCAUGGAUUCUCCUUGCAAUGAGAGAAAGACAUUUAUUUUGUACAUUUGACUUUCACUUACUUUCACUGUCUUAAUAAAGUUCUACUUGAUACCUAC